Molecule: non-coding RNA, 75 nt
Organism: Rattus rattus (black rat)
Lineage: Eukaryota; Metazoa; Chordata; Mammalia; Rodentia; Muridae
Source: the annotation of a RefSeq genome assembly
GCCUGGGUGGAGCUCAGUUGGCAGAGCGUUUGCUUAUUAUACAAAAGGUCCUGGGUUCGAUCCUCGGCAUAGGCU